Exaiptasia diaphana is the source of this 318-nucleotide long non-coding RNA. RefSeq lists it as uncharacterized. The record is from RefSeq and is a predicted model, not a curated record. NCBI's taxonomy places the organism in Eukaryota, Metazoa, Cnidaria, Anthozoa, Actiniaria, Aiptasiidae. The transcript is spliced from 3 exons.
GUUAUAGAGAGAUAUAAGGGCAAAAGAAAUACUUCAUAUGGAUUCCCUGUCUGGAUGUCCAGACCACGAAAUUGUACAAGAAUCCAUGGCUACCCAAGGCAAACCAACGAUUACGAUUGUGGUGUUUUUGUGUGCAAGUUGCCUAUAAACAUGUAAACAUUCAUCGGUCGAUUCUUCUUGAUGAAAAGGAGCCCUUCAUGGACCACCAGGAAAAGAUUGAUGGAGAAAAAGUGUGAGAACCUUGUAUUAUAAUUGAUCAAGAAAAAGAAAUCGAAAGAAAUGUGGAACUGACCAAAUUUCUUCUACAACCAAUGGAAA